CAGGCCUAACACAUGCAAGUCGAACGGGCACCUUCGGGUGUCAGUGGCAGACGGGUGAGUAACACGUGGGAACGUACCCUUCGGUUCGGUAUAACUCAGGGAAACUUGAGCUAAUACCGGAUACGCCCUUCUGGGGAAAGGUUUACUGCCGAAGGAUCGGCCCGCGUCUGAUUAGCUUGUUGGUGGGGUAACGGCCUACCAAGACGACGAUCAGUAGAUGGUCUGAGAGGAUGAUCAGCCACACUGGGACUGAGACACGGCCCAGACUCCUACGGGAGGCAGCAGUGGGGAAUAUUGGACAAUGGGCGCAAGCCUGAUCCAGCCAUGCCGCGUGAGUGAUGAAGGCCUUAGGGUUGUAAAGCUCUUUUGUCCGGGACGAUAAUGACGGUACCGGAAGAAUAAGCCCCGGCUAACUUCGUGCCAGCAGCCGCGGUAAU
This 437-nucleotide ribosomal RNA is filed under the name uncultured bacterium. RNAcentral describes it as "bacterial SSU rRNA". It matches the Rfam family "Bacterial small subunit ribosomal RNA", at positions 43 to 524 of the family's 1533-position model. The record is from RNAcentral.